CAGCAGCCGCGGUAAUACAUGGAGGGGCGAGCGUUGUUCGGAAUUACUGGGCGUAAAGGGUUCGUACGUGGCUGGCUAAAUCAUACGUGAAAUCCCUCAGCUUAACUGGGGAACUGCGUCUGAGACUGGCGAGCUCGAGUGCGGGAUAGGAACGCGGACUCCAGGUGUAGAGCUGAAAUGCGUAUAUAUAUGGCAGGAACACCGGUGGCGAAUGCGGCUUUCUGGACUGCAACUGACACUGAGGAACGAAAGCCAGGGUAUCAAACGGGAUUAUCAUACCUCCGGUAGUCCUGGCCGCUAAACGAUGAAUGCUUGGUGUGGCGGUUAUCCGAUCCCUGCCGUGCCGCACUUAACGCGUUAACAUUCCGCCUGGGGAGUACGGUCUCAAGGCU
RNAcentral lists this ribosomal RNA (392 nucleotides) under uncultured bacterium. RNAcentral's name for it is "bacterial SSU rRNA". It matches the Rfam family "Bacterial small subunit ribosomal RNA", at positions 509 to 895 of the family's 1533-position model. The record is from RNAcentral.